Molecule: ribosomal RNA, 495 nt
Filed under: uncultured bacterium
Lineage: Bacteria
Description: partial 16S ribosomal RNA
Rfam family: Bacterial small subunit ribosomal RNA
Source: RNAcentral
GACGAACGCUGGCGGCGUGCCUAAUACAUGCAAGUAGAACGCUGAAGGAGGAGCUUGCUUCUCUGGAUGAGUUGCGAACGGGUGAGUAACGCGUAGGUAACCUGCCUGGUAGCGGGGGAUAACUAUUGGAAACGAUAGCUAAUACCGCAUAACAGUAGAUAUCGCAUGAUAUCUACUUGAAAGGUGCAAUUGCAUCACUACCAGAUGGACCUGCGUUGUAUUAGCUAGUUGGUGAGGUAACGGCUCACCAAGGCGACGAUACAUAGCCGACCUGAGAGGGUGAUCGGCCACACUGGGACUGAGACACGGCCCAGACUCCUACGGGAGGCAGCAGUAGGGAAUCUUCGGCAAUGGACGGAAGUCUGACCGAGCAACGCCGCGUGAGUGAAGAAGGUUUUCGGAUCGUAAAGCUCUGUUGUAAGAGAAGAACGAGUGUGAGAGUGGAAAGUUCACACUGCGACGGUAUCUUACCAGAAAGGGACGGCUAACUACGUG